AACGUAGGUGGCGAGCGUUAUCCGGAUUUACUGGGCGUAAAGCGUGUGCAGGCGGCUGGUCAAGUGGUGUAUGAAAUAUCCAGGCUCAACCUGGAGGGGUUAUGCCAGACUGGCCAGCUAGAGGGCGAGAGAGGGGCGUGGAAUUCCGGGUGUAGUGGUGAAAUGCGUAGAGAUCCGGAGGAACCCCAGAGGCGAAGGCGGCGCCCUGGCUCGCACCUGACGCUCAGACACGACAGCAUGGGGAGCGAACGGG
RNAcentral lists this ribosomal RNA (253 nucleotides) under uncultured bacterium. RNAcentral's name for it is "partial 16S ribosomal RNA". It matches the Rfam family "Bacterial small subunit ribosomal RNA", at positions 524 to 776 of the family's 1533-position model. The record is from RNAcentral.